AUUGAACGCUGGCGGCAUGCCUUACACAUGCAAGUCGAACGGCAGCACGGGAGCAAUCCUGGUGGCGAGUGGCGAACGGGUGAGUAAUAUAUCGGAACAUGCCCAGUCGUGGGGGAUAACGUAGCGAAAGCUACGCUAAUACCGCAUACGAUCUAUGGAUGAAAGCGGGGGAUCGCAAGACCUCGCGCGAUUGGAGCGGCCGAUAUCAGAUUAGGUUGUUGGUGGGGUAAAGCCCACCAAGCCGACGAUCUGUAGCUGGUCUGAGAGGACGACCAGCCACACUGGGACUGAGACACGGCCCAGACUCCUACGGGAGGCAGCAGUGGGGAAUUUUGGACAAUGGGCGCAAGCCUGAUCCAG
This 360-nucleotide ribosomal RNA is filed under the name uncultured bacterium. RNAcentral describes it as "bacterial SSU rRNA". It matches the Rfam family "Bacterial small subunit ribosomal RNA", at positions 30 to 391 of the family's 1533-position model. The record is from RNAcentral.